This 400-nucleotide ribosomal RNA is filed under the name phytoplankton environmental sample. Its description in RNAcentral is "partial small subunit ribosomal RNA". It matches the Rfam family "Eukaryotic small subunit ribosomal RNA", at positions 587 to 988 of the family's 1831-position model. The record is from RNAcentral.
AGCUCCAAUAGCGUAUAUUAAAGUUGUUGCAGUUAAAAAGCUCGUAGUUGGAUUUCUGGCAGGAGCGGCCGGCCACGCGCUCUGCGCGUGAGUUUGCGCUGUCUCUGGCCAUCCUCGGGGAGAUCGCGUUUGGCAUUAAGUUGUCGGGCGUGGGAUACCCGUCGUUUACUGUGAAAAAAUUAGAGUGUUUAAAGCAGGCUUAUGCCGUUGAAUAUAUUAGCAUGGAAUAAUAAGAUAGGACUUCGGAACUAUUUUGUUGGUUUGCGUUACGAAGUAAUGAUUAAUAGGGACAGUUGGGGGUAUUCGUAUUUCGUUGUCAGAGGUGAAAUUCUUGGAUUUCCGAAAGACGAACUACUGCGAAAGCAUUUACCAAGGAUGUUUUCAUUAAUCAAGAACGAAA